UACGGGGGGAGCAAGCGUUGUUCGGAAUCACUGGGCGUAAAGGGAGUCUAGGCGGUUUGGUAAGUGGGAUGUGAAAUGCCCGGGCUCACCCCGGGACCUGCAUCCCAAACUGCUGAGCUUGAGUACAGGAGAGGGUGGGGGAAUUCCAGGUGUAGCGGUGAAAUGCGUAGAUAUCAAGAGGAACACCUGAGGUGAAGACGGGUUGCUGGGCUGACACUGACGCUGAGGCGCGAAAGCCAGGGGAGCAAACGGG
Molecule: ribosomal RNA, 253 nt
Filed under: uncultured bacterium
Lineage: Bacteria
Description: partial 16S ribosomal RNA
Rfam family: Bacterial small subunit ribosomal RNA
Source: RNAcentral